RNAcentral lists this ribosomal RNA (298 nucleotides) under uncultured Planctomycetota bacterium. RNAcentral's name for it is "uncultured planctomycete partial 16S ribosomal RNA". It matches the Rfam family "Bacterial small subunit ribosomal RNA", at positions 50 to 353 of the family's 1533-position model. The record is from RNAcentral. Lineage: Bacteria; Pseudomonadati; Planctomycetota.
UAGGCAUGCAAGUCGUGCGAGUAAGGGUUUGGUGCUUGCAUUGGACCCGGAAAGCGGCGAAAGGGAGAGUAACGCGUGGGUAACCAACCCCCAGGCCCGGGAUAGCGGCGGGAAACUGCCGGUAAUACCGGAUAAUGUCCCCGGACCAAAGGUGUGAUUCCGCCUGGGGACGGACCCGCGUCCUAUUAGCUUGUUGGUGGGGUAACGGCCUACCAAGGCAAAGAUGGGUAGCGGGCGUGAGAGCGUGGCCCGUCUCACUGGGACUGAGACACUGCCCAGACACCUACGGGUGGCUGCA